RNAcentral lists this ribosomal RNA (403 nucleotides) under uncultured bacterium. RNAcentral describes it as "partial 16S ribosomal RNA". It matches the Rfam family "Bacterial small subunit ribosomal RNA", at positions 28 to 526 of the family's 1533-position model. The record is from RNAcentral.
GACGAACGCUGGCGGCGUGCCUAAUACAUGCAAGUCGAGCGCAGUGGGGACGGGUGAGUAACACGUGGGUAACCUCCCAUCAGAGGGGAUAACACUUGGAAAAAGGUGCUAAACCGAUACUGAUGGAUGGACCCGCGGUGCAUUAGCUAGUGGGUGAGGUAACGGCCAACCAAGGCCACGAUGCAUAGCCGACCUGAGAGGGUGAUCGGCCACACUGGGACGGAGACACGGCCCAGACUCCUACGGGAGGCAGCAGUAGGGAAUCUUGGGCAAUGGACGAAAGUCUGAUCAAGCAACGCCGCGUGAGUGAAGAAGGUUUUAGGAUCGUAAAGCUCUGUUGUUAGAGAAGCGGUAUCUAACCAGAAAGCCACGGCUAACUACGUGCCAGCAGCCGCGGUAAUAC